This 407-nucleotide ribosomal RNA is filed under the name uncultured prokaryote. RNAcentral's name for it is "bacterial SSU rRNA". It matches the Rfam family "Bacterial small subunit ribosomal RNA", at positions 355 to 776 of the family's 1533-position model. RNAcentral also lists the same sequence under 1 other name. The record is from RNAcentral.
UGGGGAAUAUUGGGCAAUGGGCGAAAGCCUGACCCAGCAACGCCGCGUGAAGGAAGAAGGUUUUCGGAUUGUAAACUUCUGUCCUCAGGGAAGAAGGAAGUGACGGUACCUGAGGAGGAAGCCCCGGCUAACUACGUGCCAGCAGCCGCGGUAAUACGUAGGGGGCGAGCGUUGUCCGGAAUGACUGGGCGUAAAGGGCGCGUAGACGGUUUUUUGAGUCUGGAGUGAAAGUCCUGCUUUCAAGGUGGGAAUUGCUUUGGAGACUGGGGGACUUGAGUGCGGAAGAGGUAAGUGGAAUUCCCGGUGUAGCGGUGAAAUGCAUAGAGAUCGGGAGGAACACCAGUGGCGAAGGCGGCUAACUGGACUGUAACUGACGCUGAAGCGCGAAAGUGUGGGGAGCAAACAGG